This 2300-nucleotide ribosomal RNA is filed under the name Clostridioides difficile. RNAcentral describes it as "bacterial LSU rRNA". It matches the Rfam family "Bacterial large subunit ribosomal RNA", at positions 603 to 2925 of the family's 2925-position model. The record is from RNAcentral. Lineage: Bacteria; Bacillati; Bacillota; Clostridia; Peptostreptococcales; Peptostreptococcaceae.
ACUUUUUGUAGAACGGGCCAACGAGUUACGUUAAGUAGCAAGGUUAAGCACUUAAGGUGCGGAGCCGUAGCGAAAGCGAGUUUUAACUGAGCGUUCAGUUACUUGACGUAGACCCGAAACCGGGCGACCUACCCAUGAGCAGGAUGAAGCGAAAGUAAAAUUUCGUGGAGGUCCGAACCCACGAGCGUUGAAAAGCUCGGGGAUGACUUGUGGGUAGCGGUGAAAUUCCAAUCGAGCCCGGAGAUAGCUGGUUCUCCCCGAAAUAGCUUUAGGGCUAGCCUCAAGGUGAGAGAUACGGAGGUAGAGCACUGAAUGUCCUAGGGGGUAUUGCACCUACCGAAGACUAUCAAACUCCGAAUGCCGUCAUCUUAUACUUGGGAGUCAGACUGUGGGUGAUAAGAUUCAUAGUCGAAAGGGCAACAGCCCAGAUCGUCAGCUAAGGUCCCUAAAUGUAAGUUAAGUGGUAAAGGAUGUGGGAUUGCACAGACAACCAGGAUGUUGGCUUAGAAGCAGCCACUCAUUCAAAGAGUGCGUAAUAGCUCACUGGUCGAGUGAUCCUGCGCCGAAGAUUUCCGGGGCUAAAACUUACUACCGAAGCUACGGCAUCAGUAAUGAUGGGUAGGGGAGCUUCCCAUACGGGUUGAAGCAUGACCGUAAGGACAUGUGGACAGUAUGGGAGUGAGAAUGUUGGCAUGAGUAGCGAGAUGUGGGUGAGAAUCCCACAGGCCGUAAACCCAAGGUUUCCAGGGGAAGGUUCGUCCGCCCUGGGUUAGUCGGGACCUAAGCUGAGGCCGAAAGGCGUAGGUGAUGGACAACAGGUUGAUAUUCCUGUACUACCGAUAACCGUUUGAGAGAAGGGAUGACACAGUAGGAUAAGCUAAGCACACUGUUGGUUAUGUGUGCCCAAGCAUUGAGGCAGUCAAAGUAGGCAAAUCCGCUUUGAUAAUGCUGGGAUGUGAUGGGGAGCGAAAUUUAGUAGCGAAGUAGCUGAUUUCACACUGUCAAGAAAAGUCUCUAUCGAGGUUAAAGGUACCCGUACCGCAAACCGACACAGGUGGGUGAGGAGAGUAUCCUAAGGCCAGCGAGAGAACUGUUGUUAAGGAACUCGGCAAAAUGACCCCGUAACUUAGGGAUAAGGGGUGCCACCAUCAGGUGGCCGCAGAGAAUAGGCCCAAGCGACUGUUUACCAAAAACAUAGGUUUCUGCUAAGUCGCAAGACGAUGUAUAGGAGCUGACGCCUGCCCGGUGCUGGAAGGUUAAGGGGAUCUGUUAGAGCAAUCGAAGCAGUGAACUUAAGCCCCAGUAAACGGCGGCCGUAACUAUAACGGUCCUAAGGUAGCGAAAUUCCUUGUCGGGUAAGUUCCGACCCGCACGAAAGGCGUAACGAUUUGGGCACUGUCUCAACAACAGACUCGGUGAAAUUGUAAUUCCGGUGAAGAUGCCGGAUACCUGCGACAGGACGGAAAGACCCCAUGGAGCUUUACUGUAGCUUGACAUUGGGUCUUGGUACUACAUGUACAGGAUAGGUGGGAGGCUUUGAAACCAGGACGCCAGUUUUGGCGGAGCCAUCCUUGGGAUACCACCCUUGUAGUACUGGGACUCUAACCAUAGGCCAUGAAUCUGGUCUUGGGACACUGUCAGGUGGGCAGUUUGACUGGGGCGGUCGCCUCCCAAAAGGUAACGGAGGCGCUCAAAGGUUCUCUCAGUACGGUCGGAAAUCGUACGUAGAGUGUAAAGGCAAAAGAGAGCUUGAUUGCAAGACAUACAGGUCGAGCAAGGAUGAAAAUCGGACUUAGUGAUCCGGUGGUUCUGCGUGGAAGGGCCAUCGCUCAACGGAUAAAAGCUACCCUGGGGAUAACAGGCUUAUCUCCCCCAAGAGUCCACAUCGACGGGGAGGUUUGGCACCUCGAUGUCGGCUCAUCACAUCCUGGGGCUGUAGUAGGUCCCAAGGGUUGGGCUGUUCGCCCAUUAAAGUGGUACGCGAGCUGGGUUCAGAACGUCGUGAGACAGUUCGGUCCCUAUCCGUCGCAGGCGUAGGAAAUUUGAGAAGACCUGUCCUUAGUACGAGAGGACCGGGAUGGACGUACCUCUGGUGUACCAGUUGUUCUGCCAAGGGCAUGGCUGGGUAGCUAUGUACGGAAUGGAUAAGCGCUGAAAGCAUCUAAGCGCGAAGCCAACUUCAAGAUAAGAUUUCCCACCGCAAGGGUAAGACCCCAGAAAGACUAUCUGGUUGAUAGGUCGAAGGUGUAAGUGCAGCAAUGUAUUUAGCUUAUCGAUACUAAUAGGUCGAGGACUUGACC